AUGUUCACUUCAGCGGCAUAUGCAUUGAAAUAAGAAUGACACAGAGAAGAUAAGCAAAGUCCCUAAUCAAGGCUGAUAUGUAAAUUAAUGAAGUGUCCUAUAUUUUU
Mobula hypostoma (lesser devil ray) is the source of this 107-nucleotide small nuclear RNA. The record is from RefSeq and is a predicted model, not a curated record. Lineage: Eukaryota; Metazoa; Chordata; Chondrichthyes; Myliobatiformes; Myliobatidae.